RNAcentral lists this ribosomal RNA (282 nucleotides) under uncultured Alphaproteobacteria bacterium. Its description in RNAcentral is "partial 16S ribosomal RNA". It matches the Rfam family "Bacterial small subunit ribosomal RNA", at positions 1085 to 1390 of the family's 1533-position model. The record is from RNAcentral. Lineage: Bacteria; Pseudomonadati; Pseudomonadota; Alphaproteobacteria.
UCCGGCAACGAGCGCAACCCACACCCUUAGUUGCCAGCAUUUGGUUGGGCACUCUAGGGGAACUGCCCGUGAUAAGCGGGAGGAAGGUGUGGAUGACGUCAAGUCCUCAUGGCCCUUACGGGUUGGGCUACACACGUGCUACAAUGGCAGUGACAAUGGGUUAAUCCCAAAAAACUGUCUCAGUUCGGAUUGGGGUCUGCAACUCNACCCCAUGAAGUCGGAAUCGCUAGUAAUCGCGUAACAGCAUGACGCGGUGAAUACGUUCCCGGGCCUUGUACACAC